This 247-nucleotide long non-coding RNA is filed under the name Malus domestica (apple). Its description in RNAcentral is "long non-coding RNA (MDOM_LNC013517)". The record is from RNAcentral. Lineage: Eukaryota; Viridiplantae; Streptophyta; Magnoliopsida; Rosales; Rosaceae.
UAUGUUAAUUAAUCAAACGAAUAAAGUUCGUUAAAAGACCUAGGGUUAGUUUUGGGCCUUAGGCCCAAUGGGCUUCGAAUGUCAAGCCCAUUGACUUAAGUUGUAUGACAACUUAAUGACUAAAUAUUCACAAAGGCCCAAACAACCCAAUAACACCCUAUGGCUGGCCAUAUUGAUAAUGGAGUGGAUUUUGGACUUAUUACAAGUUUGCCACUCCAAUGAAGGUAGGUAUAAAUAUGACUUUAUA